RNAcentral lists this small RNA (32 nucleotides) under Bombyx mori (domestic silkworm). Its description in RNAcentral is "ovarian small RNA-13306". The record is from RNAcentral. Lineage: Eukaryota; Metazoa; Arthropoda; Insecta; Lepidoptera; Bombycidae.
CAGGGUUCAAGUCCCUGUUCGGGCGGCUCUUU